AUGAAGACUGCAAGGCAUAGCAAGAAGAGGCAGCAGCAGUCCGGGAGGGCCGUGCUCGUGACUUUCUACGUGGCGAGGCCGAGGAGGAAAGACAGCGGCGCCGCGUCGGCGGGCUCGUCGCGGCACGUUCAUCACCACCACCACCACGAUGUUCACCAUCACCACCACCACCAUCUUCACCAUGGAAGCGACGAGGCGCGACGGCGGGGAUCGGAGAACCGCAGGUCGUACGACCGCCGGGCCGAGCUGCUGGAGUACUCGCGCCAGAUGAGGGCCUCGGCUGCCGCAGCGGCGGCGAGGCCGCCGCACCCAGAGGAGCCCCUCCACCCACGUCGCGACGUCGAAGCGGCCGGCGCGGGGCGUUACCCGGUCCACCCGCGGCCUGCGGCGGACCCCCGUUUUAUUUACAUAGCUGGACUGAUCGAGUCCCUGUCGGGCGGUGCGGUGCGUCUUGCCGGCCACCCGCCCGCGGCGGCGGGUGACGACCGUAGGCUGGUGGAACGACGGCGGCUGGAGCGCGCGGAGAGCCAGCAGCAGGUGAGGCAGAGAUGCCUGGGGCUGGGAGGCGACUGGAGCUGGAAGAGGGUGCUCAGGCUCGUGCUGCCCUGCCAGAGCAGCACCGGCCGGCCGUCUACAAGGUCAAGGACACAAGGCAGAGACGACUACGACGGCAAGGAGGAUGGCAAGGCGGCCAGGGCGUGGCCGGCUGCGGUACAGCUGGUCAGCAAGUUGAAGCAAGAUGGGUUGCUGUCUAUUGUCAGAGACAGGCAGAGUCUGAUAGGCUCGGUGCUGCAGGUUAACCCUGUACCUGUCGUCGGCUGGCGAAGGAUCGUCCGAUUCGUUGGAGGAGGAGCCGUGGUCGUCGUCGUCGGAGAAGUCGACGAUGACGAGGCCCUUGAGGCGAUGGACGACCCGGUCCUGCUCGCGCCUAAGCUUGGCCCGCCGAUCCGCCUCCUUCGCCUUCUUCAACGCCUCCCGCUCGGACUCUUUGAUGGCAAGCCGAAGAGCCUUGGCAUUCUUCCAGCGGAGUCGACGAGCGUCCGUCUCCGCCGUCGUAAGCGACCGGCGGUAGACCCACGCGAGGAGCCGCUCGUCCUCGUCGGGCUCCGCCCAUGA
Molecule: ribosomal RNA, 1116 nt
Filed under: Triticum aestivum (bread wheat)
Lineage: Eukaryota; Viridiplantae; Streptophyta; Magnoliopsida; Poales; Poaceae
Description: partial small subunit ribosomal RNA
Source: RNAcentral